UGCCCCUCACUUGCCAAUACGUCUAGAUCAGCCAGGGCGUCGGCAUGUGUAGCGUAUUAUGUUGGGCUCUUUCGAGAUAAGGAUACGAUGUCCCUUUAUCGGUUGGUUUCCUGUGUGUGCGGCCCGUUCGUUUUUUUUGUUACUUUCGCAUCGUUCGGUGCAUUCUGGGGGCUGUGUCGGCUUUUGGUGGCUUGCUUGGCCUUUUGGCUUUGCUUGUUGCUACUUGUCGGGCUGCUUUCGGGAAUGUCGACCGUGGAGGUGCAUGAGUGGUGUUUGGUUUGUUACGUGUGGAUGGCUGUUUGCUUGUGCAACAACGUUCACGCUGCAUACCUCUUCAGUUUUGCGGCAAGGCUUGGUUUGGCUUGUGCAUAUUGUGGGUUUCCUGUGUUGCAUACCUAGUUGAUGGAAAAGUGUGGGUUUUACGAUUUUCAUUUUCGUCUUGCGUCGUUCUUUUGGCGUGGGAUGAACAAUGAAGCGAUCUUUAUGAUCCAUCGUGCUGUUGCGUUUGCAACAAUGAUGUGGCCUAUGAAGCAUCGUUUGGUCUCUUGUAUACGGAAGCUCAUUUGGGCUUGGGUCUUUAUAAGAUCUUCGUUACGCCCUUGUUAAGCGUUCUCGCUUCUCCUAAACGAUUG
RNAcentral lists this unclassified non-coding RNA (632 nucleotides) under Centaurea amblensis. RNAcentral's name for it is "partial external transcribed spacer". The record is from RNAcentral. Lineage: Eukaryota; Viridiplantae; Streptophyta; Magnoliopsida; Asterales; Asteraceae.